GAAUUCUAUAGCCAGCAAAGCAAUCCUUCAAAAUUGAAGGCAAAAUUAAUACAUUUCCAGGUUUCAAGGAGAUUCAAAACCUUUGUCACUGCUGCUGUCUUCCCAGAAGCUCCUUAAAUCCUCUUGAUUUCAUCACAUUAGUUGCAGUACACUCUGCCCGUGCAUGUGAAGCUGCAGAGGGCCGGAGAGGAUGGUUUCCUUUGCCUUCAAAACCACAAGCAAGAAUGCCACAGGAUCCAAGGAGCAAAAAUGAUUUGGAAGACGACAAGGUUGAGCCAGGGACAGCCAGUGUUACUGAUGACACAUGGGCAAGGUUUCCUGGCCAGUCUCUUUUGGGGACUGUGAUUUCCCAAGCAAAUGUCACUUGGUGACAAGGACUCCCAC
Molecule: long non-coding RNA, 384 nt
Filed under: Equus caballus (horse)
Lineage: Eukaryota; Metazoa; Chordata; Mammalia; Perissodactyla; Equidae
Description: lncRNA (ENSECAG00000057016.1)
Source: RNAcentral